Molecule: long non-coding RNA, 459 nt
Filed under: Salvia miltiorrhiza (redroot sage)
Lineage: Eukaryota; Viridiplantae; Streptophyta; Magnoliopsida; Lamiales; Lamiaceae
Description: long non-coding RNA (SMIL_LNC000941)
Source: RNAcentral
AAUUGAAUUCGUCUUGGAAAAAUCAAGAAGAAUUCGAAACUCUCAAGAGAGAAUAAAAACUCACAAUUUGAUUAAAGGUAGGCUGAAAAUUCGUCCAACACAUAGUAGCCUUAUAUAUAGGCACAACUAAACCUAGUCUAAUAAGGAAACAACUUAAAAACAAGCCCUAAUAGGCCAAACAAGGCCCUUACUUUAAAAAUCCGAAAAUUAACAAGGCCCUAACUAAUGGGCUGCGAAAUAAAGCUAAGUAAAUAAAAAUUGAAGUCUUUCACACUUCGGCCCACUCGCACGUAAUAAGAUUAAUCAAACACGGGCUCAAUUCGCCAACUCCACAAUCUCCAAUUGGCUUCUUGAUCAACUCUUGCUUCCAAACUUCUUCAACUAAGAUCAUCAAGCUCUCCUUGAACUUCUUGGCUCGAGCUCUUGUAACUGGACCAACAGGAACAUGCACCGGGUCUU